CCUACGGGAGGCAGCAGUGAGGAAUAUUGGUCAAUGGUCGGGAGACUGAACCAGCCAAGCCGCGUGAGGGAUGAAGGUACAGAGUAUCGUAAACCCCUUUUGUCAGGGAACAAAGGCGGGGACGUGUCCCCGGAUGAGUGUACCUGAAGAAAAAGCAUCGGCAAACUCCGUGCCAGCAGCCGCGGUAAUACGGAGGAUGCGAGCGUUACCCGGAUUUAUGGGGUUUAAGGGGUGCGCAGGCGGUCUGUUAAGUCAGCGGUCAAAGCCCGGGGCUCAACCCCGGCCCGCCGUUGAAACGGGCAGUCUCGAGUUGGAGAGAGGUAGGCGGAAUGCGCGGUGUAGCGGUGAAAUGCAUAGAUAUCGCGCAGAACUCCGAUUGCGAAGGCAGCAUGCCGGCUCCACACUGACGCUGAGGCACGAAAGCGUGGGUAUCGAACAGGAUUAGAUACCCGAGUAGUC
Molecule: ribosomal RNA, 459 nt
Filed under: uncultured bacterium
Lineage: Bacteria
Description: partial 16S ribosomal RNA
Rfam family: Bacterial small subunit ribosomal RNA
Source: RNAcentral